UCCUGGGGAGCUAAGGCUUACACAGAUGGAAUGAUUACAGGAUGGCACUGGGGCAUAUAAUGCAGGUACCCAAUAUGAUAAAGAGAGACUAGGCUGGUGGGAGGUUGCAUGGCGGCUGGUAUUGCCCUGAAAGGACCCCUUUCUUGGUUGCUCAGCGUUGUCUCAGCAGCUCCACGGUGGAGACAUAGUUCAGUAGUUAGCAUCCGUGCGAUGUAAUACGUGAAUUUAUAUGGUUCCUGCAAUAUAAACUGAGGAUUGUAUUGAUAGAGUCUCCAUUUAGUGGUAGCUGGAGUUGAUCAAACAUUUACACGUGCCAGGCAUUGGGCCAAACACCUUGUGCAUUCACUGCAUUGAAUCUUGACCAGAAACUGUGUAUGUGUGUCUGUGUCCCUGUGUCCAGGGGAGUGAUGAGGAGAUACUUGCUAGAGAGGAAGUUUUUACUGUCUCCUUUUAACAGAGGAUGGAAUCUGGGUAUCAGAUUUCUAAUAUCCAGAAUUGUAUGACUGACUAAUACAUGUGAAAACAGGAUUUAGAUCCAGGUCUGCCAGCGUGAAAUCUUAAUACACUCAACGCCUACACAGUAUUGAAAUGUAAUCACAUUUUAAUCCUUUGAUGAGUUGGUUCCACAUCUGUGGAGCGAGGAUAACAGCCCUCUGUGAGUGGCCCAUAGUUCAAGUUUAAGAAACAUUCCCUGGGCAUAGAAGUCCCAGGAUGGUACUUUGUGGUGUUGGGUUGGGAAGCUUUCGGGGGCACUUACAAAGUGGUUAUGUGCUCCAGGCCCCUCCCUUCCAUUGGAGCAGCUCUGUUUCUCUGUUCCUACAUUUUGGCAUUCAGCAUCCUGUUGCUUAAAAUGGUUUGAAAGCCAGUAACGUCGACUAUCACAUUACCCCUUUCCUUGACUGUACCAGGUAGCAGAAUUAACUGAUCGUGAUUGAGUACUUUUAAUAACCUGGAGUUGUUUUUCACCUCUGAGCUCCUGAGUGGAAACUAUUGGAGUAUCUGGGAUCUUGGAGCUGAAAAAGAAGCAGCCAGAUGUGCUAGUGACUUGGGUGUUUCCAGGUCCUUGAGAAAUAAUGUGCUUUGAACCCUGUGUCUGGCAAAAUUAGUUUUGCUGGAUCAUCCAGCUGGGACCUGGAGAUGUUGAGUUGUCCUCUCAUUUGGGGUUCAUGCCGAGCAUUCUCAGAGCAGCCUCUUGUGGUGUGCUAGCAGGCCUUUGCAGACCAAGGGUAAGCACGGGUCCCUCUCAGCCUGGAGCUGGUCCAUGGAGGGAGAUCAGAAUGUUCAGUGCAGUCACCUGGGGCCCUUGGAAAUAUUCCUGCUGUUGCAAGGCAGGUAGGAGCAAGUCCCUUUGGGACCAAAUAAACAGGAACUGGAUUUGAAAGUAUGGCUGGAUGCCUCGGGCAUUGGGUGACGAGGAAGGGCUGGUGGCCCUGGGUUGGAUCUAUCUAAUAUGGCCCUAGGGUGACCAGCCAUCCCCGUCUGCCUGGGACUCUCCAAGAUUUAGUGCUGAAAGUUCUGUGUCAGUCCUGGGUAAGCCAGGGAGACUGACUACCCUGCAUGGCCCUGGAGCCCAGGCUUCCAUCACUGCUUGGCUAGACUCUCUUGAAGACUCCUCAGCUGCCUUCCUGGCUCUACAGUUGCUCAUCUUCAGUGCUACUGGAGCCCAUCUGGAACUGCCAGUCUGACCUUCUGCUUAAAAACCAAAGUCCUGGGCACUGGCAUUUGCUGUGUGCUUGUAGCCAUGUCAUGGGAGCCCUGUGUUGGACCUGCCAGGAGCUUCCACACCCCUCUGUGUGUCCCCUUUCCUCUCCCUGGCAACUUCAUCCCCAUCCACUAAGCCCUGGCUGCCUUGUGUUGCCUCUUGAGAAGCCUUCCUUGUCGGAGCAGAAGUAUCAUUCCUUCUGUAUCACUGCUGUCGUGUACUUGUCGCGGUGCAUCUAACUGUUCCCACCCCCUUGUCCGGGCGGGGACUCAGCUGCAUACAGCACCAGGCAGCCAAGAAGCUUCUGGUGACUGUCUCCAGUGCUUAGUGUUGAAAUAACUAAUAGCAGAAUGGGGAAUAUUUUGUUGGCAGGUCCUAGAAUAGAUUCAGUGUUUGAUGCUCAAAAUUGUGAUUUUUAAAACAUUUUUCAAGUAGUGGAGCCCACUCCCAACUUUAAACAGAAUGGAAUCUUUUAUAUUGAGUGCCAUAUGUAAGACAAUUAAGAGUAGGGAAAAGAAACGGAAUUGGAAGUGAGGGUGUGGGAGGCGAGACUAUGCCGUCUUCGUGGAUCCCCAGAACUCUGGGCAUGCUGUGUCAAAGCUGCUUGUUUAAAAGCUUCUGGGGCUUAUGGUUCUGAAGAAGUCCAUUUAAUCAGCUGAAGGGGCCCCGGGGUGAGGGGCUGGGCUCUGGCUCCAGCCUUAACCAGGCCGGGCUCUGCCACCUCUGAACAGAGUUACCUUCGAUUAAAGGGCACCGCUGUAUUUUGUUUUGUAUUUUGUUAAAAAUACGAAACCAAGCCAGACCUGUCCUCAAUUCACUCUUGGUGCCCUGGUUGGCACGCGGCUCCGAGCUCCUGAUGGGAGGAACAGCUGGCGAUCUAUUUUAAUUAGUGGCAAGUACCAAGUGAUUGAAAAUAGACUGUUAGAAAACUCAGCCGGCCUCACCCCUCAUGCCUGACAAAUGGUGGGGACGCUGUCCGUGUGGGAUUUGAAGAGGGCUGGCGCUGAGGCCUGCUCAGACGCGUGCCUGAUGUCCCAUUGACUGGGCUGAUGGUGACUGUCGUGUUCAGGCAGUGACAUAGGUUUUAGUCCUCUUCAGCCUUGCCCUGGGACAGGGGACGUUCUUAAUUAGGAAGACUUUCAUCAGAAGGGGCUUGGGGAGUGUCUGGCGCCAUGACAGCUCCGAGUCUAACCAUAAAAGGGCAAAGAGUGGGCGGUGGCCCGGUUCCUGGGAAUCCCAGCCCCUUCCCCAGGGCAGUUGGAAUGGCCCUUCCACUUGUUGGGAUGUGAAGCUACCGAGCCCAUAAAAACUGGCAGCACUGCGCCUCUUGGCACUCUCGCUCCCUCCUCUUAGGAGACGGCCCACGCUCUGUCUAUAGAGUGCGUAUCCACUUUUACUUUAACCUGAGCACUCAACCCCCACACCUCGUGGCCUUUCUCUGGACUUCUGAAACAGCCUGCGCUCUAGGUAGUAUGUAUCUCUCUAAAUAAAUCUAUCUUUACUCAACUGUGGCUCCCUCUU
Molecule: non-coding RNA, 3223 nt
Organism: Vicugna pacos (alpaca)
Lineage: Eukaryota; Metazoa; Chordata; Mammalia; Artiodactyla; Camelidae
Source: RefSeq, a predicted model, not a curated record